GCAUAACGCGAAGAACCUUACCAAGGCUUGACAUGCAUCUCUAAGCGCGUGAAAGCGCGUGACCCUUCGGGGGAUUUGCACAGGUGCUGCAUGGCCGUCGUCAGCUCGUGUCGUGAGAUGUUGGGUUAAGUCCCGCAACGAGCGCAACCCUUGUGACUAGUUGCCAGCACGUUAUGGUGGGAACUCUAGUCAGACUGCCCAGAUCAACUGGGAGGAAGGUGGGGACGACGUCAGGUCAGUAUGGCCCUUACGCCUUGGGCUGCACACGUACUACAAUGCCCAGCACAAUGAGAACCGAGGCCGCGAGGUGGAGGAAAUCUAAAAAAUUGGGCCCAGUUCGGAUUGGAGGCUGCAACUCGCCUCCAUGAAGUUGGAAUCGCUAGUAAUGGCGCAUCAUCUACGGCGCCGUGAAUACGUUCCCGGGUCUUGUACACACCG
RNAcentral lists this ribosomal RNA (438 nucleotides) under uncultured bacterium. RNAcentral describes it as "bacterial SSU rRNA". It matches the Rfam family "Bacterial small subunit ribosomal RNA", at positions 954 to 1392 of the family's 1533-position model. The record is from RNAcentral.